RNAcentral lists this ribosomal RNA (253 nucleotides) under uncultured bacterium. RNAcentral's name for it is "partial 16S ribosomal RNA". It matches the Rfam family "Bacterial small subunit ribosomal RNA", at positions 524 to 776 of the family's 1533-position model. The record is from RNAcentral.
UACGGAGGGUGCAAGCGUUGUCCGGAUUUAUUGGGUUUAAAGGGUGCGUAGGCGGCUAUUUAAGUCAGUGGUGAAAUCCUGCAGCUUAACUGUAGAAUUGCCAUUGAUACUGGAUAGCUUGAGUACAGACGAGGUAGGCGGAAUUUAUGGUGUAGCGGUGAAAUGCAUAGAUACCAUAAAGAACACCUAUUGCGAAGGCAGCUUACUAGGCUGUAACUGACGCUGAGGCACGAAAGCGUGGGGAUCAAACAGG